GUAGGUGGCAAGCGUUGUCCGGAAUUAUUGGGCGUAAAGCGCGCGCAGGCGGUUCUUUAAGUCUGAUGUGAAAGCCCACGGGCUCAACCGUGGAGGGUCAUUGGAAACUGGAGAACUUGAGUACAGAAGAGGAAAGCGGAAUUCCACGUGUAGCGGUGAAAUGCGUAGAGAUGUGGAGGAACACCAGUGGCGAAGGCGGCUUUCUGGUCUGUAACUGACGCUGAGGCGCGAAAGCGUGGGGAGCAAACAGGAUUAGAUACCCUGGUAGUCCACGCCGUAAACGAUGAGUGCAAAGUGUUAGGGGGUUUCCGCCCCUUAGUGCUGCAGCUAACGCAUUAAGCACUCCGCCUGGGGAGUACGGCCGCAAGGCUG
This 372-nucleotide ribosomal RNA is filed under the name uncultured organism. RNAcentral's name for it is "partial 16S ribosomal RNA". It matches the Rfam family "Bacterial small subunit ribosomal RNA", at positions 527 to 896 of the family's 1533-position model. The record is from RNAcentral.